UUUGACGACCUUUUGCUGGCGCAACCACCUGAUGUUCCAUGGCUUAGGUUGCGUGAUGCUGCUCCGUCCCUUUUCUUCCUCAUUCUUUAAGAUUGUUGCCCGAGUUUAACUUUCAGUGGGCUCAUAAGCAAAGGAAUUGUGUCAGUACUAACCUGAGUUAUUGAAACUUGACUGAGGUUGGUGGGAGUUGCAGAAGGUUGGCUAAGGUUGGUGGGAGUUAUUGAGAUUUGGCUGAUGGGAAGAGUUAUUGAAGCUAGGCUGUGGUUGGGGGAGGGGCCGAAAGCUUUAGCUAAAAAAAGGUAGUUCAUCUUUUCUUCAGCAUAAUCUCUCAGUCUGUUGAGCUCUGGCAAGACUUCUGUGCCAAGAUCUGGCCUGUCUUUCCGUCUCAGUUCUGCACAUUGGAGUGCAAGCUUUGCAAACCAUAAAGUCUCUUCAAUUGGCCAAUCAGGCACAUCUGAGUCUAGAACUUCUUUGAGCGUCUCAUUUUCAAUUGCUUGUUCAACAAUGUGAGUCAAGCCCAUUGGUGGCUUGGCUGUUAUGACUUGCAGAAGCAAGAUCCCUAAGGAAUAUACAUCAGAUUUCACACCAAGCAUUCCAGUUUGUUGAUACUCUGGAUCAAUAUAGCAGAAAGUUCCAGCAGCUGAUGUCAUGUGGUAUUGUGUUACAUUCUCAGAAGUAGUAGGAACAAGCCUGGCCAACCAACAUCACUAAUCUUACUGGUGUAAUUGUUGUCUAGCAAAAUGUUUCCUGGCUUGAGGUCACGGUGAACCACUGGCUCUGGCUUGGUCUGAUGGAGAAAGAGCAGACCUGUGGCUAUCUCAGCUGCAAUUCGGAACCUGAUUUGCCAAGAAAGAGCUGCUGUAUUCCCUCUCUUGAAGAGACAGUCUUCUAAGCUUCCUUUUGCCAUGUAUUCAUAGACUAGAAUACCAUACUCUGGGCAGGCUCCUAGAAGCAGUACCAUGUUUGGAUGCCGUAUUAAGCUAAGCACUUCAACCUGCAAGCUUCUUUGAGGGUUUUCUCUAUGUUGAGUCUCCUUUGCGCUUCUAUUGCAGCUCUCUUCUCAGCUUCUUCAGCAGCGUCUAUGGCUUCUCUGCACCUGGCUUUCUCUUGCUCUAUAAUCGACAGUGCAGCUUCUUCAGAAAACCUAGACUCUUCCAAUCUUCGUUCUUCUUCUAUUCUCCAGCGAUUCAGCUCUGUUGCCUAUAUACAUACCAUUUUAGAACCUACUGGGAAUCUUACUAGUGCACGUAGAAAAAAUGAAUUCUCUGUACCUUCCGUUUUGCUGUAAGUGCUUCUCUACAUGCUGCGUUGUACAAGUCCAUUGUUUGCUUCAACUCUAGUUUUAGCCUCCUCAUCUCAGACUCCAUGUCAUCCUAUAUGUUUCAAUUACAGAUUAGGAGAAAGCAUUGAAUCAUGCAUCUGUGCUUUAUUAUCACACUUUGCGCAGUCUUAUUGACUUUAAAGUUAAAACAACAAAUGAAAGGCUAAAGAAAUCAAAAUAUAAAAUUGCUUUUUCCAAUCAUGGAAAGAUCGAUGUAAGAUUAUGCUACAAGCCAUCAUAGGAUGUUACUCUAUCUAAAUUGACCGAAUAAUCUUAGCUAUUUUGCGGAAUUCAGUGUAUAACCCAAGAGAAAAACGAAGAAAAACUUAAAUUGCUUGUUCUUGACAAUAUUCACAGUGUAGCCUGAAUCAAACAACUUGAGGAUAUGAUCUAACUAGAUUAAUUUUCCUGUUAAUAGGAAAAAAAUGGUUAAAAUAAUAACUCUAUUAUUAAACAUCCUUUAUUUCCUUAAGUGUUUACAGUGUUUGAUGGUUAGUCGAGCUUAUUUACCUAAUCAUGCUAUUGUCAAAACGGUUAAUUGCUUACCAGGCUGUGUGUUGAACCAGUAAAAGAUGUUCUGCCGCUAUCUUGUGAAAUUGAUGAAAAUCCCUGAUGGUAAUUGGGGCUAAAGAACUUUGGUCCUGAUUGUAUAGAUGCAAAGCUAGUGUCUGAGCUAGUUGAAAACCGAGGGGUUGCUCCAGAAUCCAUGAAAUCAUAGGUUACAGAAGACAUGCGGUCAGUGCUUGGCCUGCUGGAGCUGACAAAUGAUAUGUCAGUUUCUGACAUGAGAUCUGCAAAUGAUUUUACACUAUGACCCUGUCCUCCUCUUCCUAAUGGUGACCUGUUGUAUUAUGUUCAGCCUUUGAACAAAUUAAAUCAUAGCCAAGCUUUAGCAAUAAAAAAAGAGAAUAUAUUACAAAGACAUCCCAGACUAUCACUCCAUAAAUAUUUACUGAUUAUAUAUGCACGUUAUAUUAUAUCAUGUUCACUGCCAUCCCCUCUCAUCUUCUAAAAUGAUUUGAUGCAUUCCUCACUUACCUGAAGGUUUCACCAACUGAGAUACGAGGCUUGACUGGCAUCGUUCUCUCUGUCAGCAGAAGACCAUAAAUUGGAUUUUGGAUUAGGAUUAAGACAAAAUAAAAUGGAAAAAGGACCAUAUGAUUGGGAGAAUAAACCUUUUAUGCUCCAAACAUGUUUGUAUAGUGCUUCAGAAGAAUCUACCCUUGGACUAUUUUGGUUCUGUUGGUUUUGUAUUUGAUGUAGAAGUGGGGAGGCGAAUGGGGCAGGACGAGAAGCAUUUCUCAUUGUAGAGACCUUUCCUUUUGAUACAACAUACACAGUACAGAAAUCAGAUAUUGCCAAUCAAAGUUCAGAGUUGAGGAGAAUAUAUAAAAUUCUGCUAGUAUUCUGAAAGUUGACCUAUGUGAAAACAAAGUGCUUUUCAUCUGAAAUAGCACCAAAACUGAUGCUGUUUUGAAUGCUUUUCAAAGUUUUUGCUGUGAGGGUCUCGAAACCAUAAAAGAGGACCUCAAACAGCAUCAAUCCAAAAGCAUUUUGAAACACACCCGAACCACAAUACCAAAAGGUAGAGUUGCCAAGUCAGGAGGGGGCUAGGGACGGCAAAAAUACCUCAUAAAUCCACUCCGUGAUGGGGUUCCGAGAACCAAAGUCUCGAUUGCUGCAUGGGAAACAUAUUCUGUUAUUGCUUUUGCUAUAUCUGUGCUUUCAACUGCAACAUCAAGGCAAUGUACCUGUAUGUUGGAAUGGAAAGGAGAAACAAGACAUUUUCCAUGCCUAAAGGUGCAUAUUUAUAUCGUGGAAAGGAGGAAUAACAAUGACAGGCUCAGAAACGUACAUCUUUGCGAGUACAAUAGCAUCGAAAUGUAAGGAAGAGAUCCUUUGCCAUCUUCUCAAGCUGCUGCUUCCCUGGUGAAGAAUAAUCACCAGGCGAUCCAUGGCCUGGUCGUGAAACAAUGCAAACAUGUGGAAGAGAAAGAAGAUUAGAACAUGAAACCUAGAACUUGAAAAACCACUUGAGAGAUCAAAGGAGCUGUAAGGCAUUGAAUGUAAGCUGAGCAACCCCCUUUCAACAUCAUAAUCUGUCAUUAUUCUAAAUAACGAAUCAGAUAGAGAAUUAUAAAUUACUUGUAACAAAUGAUGAUGAUGAUUUAUAAAAAACAUGGAUUAGAAUAAGAUUUUGGCCCUUGGAGAGAAGAUUUUCCACAGUCCAUUUCAAUGCGUUUUGGCUCCCCUUGUCUUUAUCUACAGCAACUGCCACCAGCCCAUUUCCUUCUCCUCCCUUCUUGGUACCGUGUCCCUUCGAGAGCCACAUUUGCUGUCUUGUAUCUUCUCAACACAGAAAAGAAUUCAAAGGACGGGAAUCCGCAAAAGUGGUCAAGAAUUCAAAGGCCUGUAAUUGUCAUCAAGAGAAGACCGCCUAAGAGGCCUUGAAACCUCUCUUCUAUCACCCUGGAUGUGCUCUGAUGCUUUCUGGUCAAAGAGGAGUUUUAAGUGCUUUCUGAAGGGAAAUGGCAAUUGGAUGCAAGCCUCAGUGUGUUUCCAGCAGAAAUGACACCCCUCAUUUUCUCAGUCCCUGUUUAGAAGCUUGCCUAUAUUUAGAGAUCGAGGGCCAUUGAUGAAGCUGUGCCGUUUCAAUGGACACACGAUGUUACUAAAUAAAGGAUGGUCUUCGGUGUACUUUGUUCACUGAUGGACUCUAUACCAUUGUUUACAUGAUUAUUGAAUUAUAUUCAAGUUUUUAUAAGAGAUUCCUAGGCCAGUUCUAUUGAGAACCAUCAUCUGCUACAUGAAAAUUCUAAAAUUCGGCUCGAAAUUUCAUGUUU
Populus trichocarpa (black cottonwood) is the source of this 4164-nucleotide long non-coding RNA. RefSeq lists it as uncharacterized. The record is from RefSeq and is a predicted model, not a curated record. The transcript is spliced from 6 exons. NCBI's taxonomy places the organism in Eukaryota, Viridiplantae, Streptophyta, Magnoliopsida, Malpighiales, Salicaceae.